Molecule: ribosomal RNA, 304 nt
Filed under: uncultured bacterium
Lineage: Bacteria
Description: partial 16S ribosomal RNA
Rfam family: Bacterial small subunit ribosomal RNA
Source: RNAcentral
CAGCAGCAGCCGCGGUAAUACGUAGGGGGCAAGCGUUAUCCGGAAUUAUUGGGCGUAAAGAGUGCGUAGGUGGUCUACUAAGCGCGAGGUGAAAGGCAAUGGCUCAACCAUUGUUAGCCUUGCGAACUGGCAGACUUGAGUGCAAGAGAGGAAAGCGGAAUUCCUAGUGUAGCGGUGAAAUGCGCAGAUAUUAGGAGGAACACCGGCGGCGAAGGCGGCUUUCUGGAUUGUAACUGACACUGAGGCACGAAAGCGUGGGUAGCAAACAGGAUUAGAUACCCCCGUAGUCCCUGUCUCUUAUACA